RNAcentral lists this ribosomal RNA (293 nucleotides) under uncultured eukaryote. RNAcentral's name for it is "partial 18S ribosomal RNA". The record is from RNAcentral.
CGCCGGCACAAGGCCAUGCGAUUCGCUCAGUUAUUAUGAAUCAUCAAUGAACCAGGAGGCGUGAACCCCCUGCAUUGGUUUUUUAUCUAAUAAAUGCGGGGAUUCCACGAGAGUUUCCCCUUUUAGCAUGUAUUAGCUCUAGAAUUACUACGGUUAUCCAAGUAGUAGGUAUUAUCAAAUAAACUAUAACUGAUUUAAUGAGCCAUUCGCAGUUUCACCGUAUAAAUUGGUUUAUACUUAGACAUGCAUGGCUUAGUCUUUAAGACAAGCAUAUGUUACUGGCAGGAUCAACC